GCACUGCCAACACAAGGUGGCCCCAAUCAAAAAGCCAUGAGAGCAACUCUGUGGGCAUGGACAUCCUACCCAUGGCAGACCAGCCACAUGGGAGGAAGCCACGGAGCCACAGAGGAGUUGCCGGAAGGACAGUGAGCCCAGGUGAAGAGAGGCAGCCCUGCCUGUUCUGAGGACUGGGACACUGCUGUUCCCCUGGCCACCAUGUAGAAGCCUAGACUCGGCCGUGCUGUGAGCAGCCCAGGAGUAUGCAGAGGCCACACUGAUCCUCUGCCCCCUGAUUGCACGAUGGGAGCCACCUCAGCCCAGUCACCAAAGAGGUGUGUGGCAGCAUCUCUAUAUCAUCCCAGUGCCAGCCACGGAGCAUCCUGGCCCAGAGGUCAGCACAGCUGAGUACUGAGGACCAGGGCCAUGCCUCAGCCCAAGUGGACCUGGCCUACGGCCUGAGCCCCAUAGCUAACAUCUCUGUGGCCUCUCUGCCUCCUCCUCAGUCAUCCAGGAUACAGUCUACCCCAGCCCAAUGCAGUCUGCUUCCAGGGUGUCUCAAACUCAGCCUGUCUUUUCCCCAUGCGCCAUCAGCACUGUAGAGCAGAUUUAUUCAUGGCACGGAUGUUGGGGACACUCAGCGCCAAGGGCAGAGGUGCGGGCAUUAUAGACACCAGAGGUGCGGGGCCAAUGCAGAGGGCUUUGAAGGUGAGAGCAGGAAGGGGAUUCAGGAGCAGAACACGGACACAGUCAAGGGAUCAAAUGAGCCAGCCUCUGCCCCAGAGCAGCCGGCUGAGGACUGAUUUGGUGACAGCCCCGGGGACAGCGCUGCCGUGUGGCCAGCACAGUCAGCAGAGCUUCAGCGUAGUGACCCAUGUGAUUCUCUGAGAGUGCUUGGUGCCCAGUGCUGCUCUUCCUCUUCCUGCUGUCAGGAUCACUGGGAUUUUAUACAGGAGGAGGAGGAGACCCCUCACCUCAUAUCACUUUUAUUGUAGCACAUCACCAACACCCCUUUGUCUGAGGGGCUGGCGCUAAUGUGCCAGAUUUCACCCGCUUGGUGGAGGAGGACGUUCUUAUUUAUAAAGUUGUUUUCAUCCUCAAAAAAAAAAAAUACAAAAGACAUCAAUUAGCAACCUUUCCCAAUGGACCUGGAAGAACUAGGGGACUCCAGAGAAAGCCAAGCAUGUGCUGCACAGUCUGCCCGUUCUUUGCCGAUUGUGAAGGAUUUUGCUUUGUUGUAUGUAACAUAUGCUGCUUCUAGAAAACUCUUCCUGAAUGCUCAGGAAUUUUGGGGGGCAGCACCCAUAGAACAUCAAGGAAACAAGCCUGCUAUAACUGUCAUACAGAGAGUUUUCCAGGUUGUUCAGUUUUUACAUGAAGAAGGGAAGUGAUGGGGAGCAAGUCAAACCCACAGUGAGUUUGCUGCAGAUGACACUGAGAUGGCACUGUGCUGCUCUAUGUGGAUCUAGAACGUUUCCCAAAGACUCGUACGUUAAAGGCUUGGUCCUCAGCUUGGCGCUGUUGGAAGGUGGUGGAACCUUUAAGAUGUGGGAAUUAGUGGGGGGGUUAUGUCAUUGGGUGCAUCCCCUUAAAAGGGACUGUGGGAUGCUGGGUUCUUCCUCUCUGUUUCCUUUCUAGCCACCAUAAAGUGAGCCGCUUGCUCUACCACAUGCUCCCCUCUAUGAUGUGUUCCCUCUAUGAUGUCUUCCCUCAACAUAGGUCCAAAUGCAAGAGGGCCUACUUACUGCUCAUUGAUUGAAACCUCUGAACUUUUGUUGUGCAUCUGCUUUGGAUUAUAGAUGUGGUUCAGGAAAGUCAGUUCAACUAAAAUGAUGUGAAUGUAUCCCUGUGCCACCAGUUCCAAGAACUGAACAGAAAGGGCUCAGUAGAUGUUCUUGAUGGCUGAGAGCUGGACAUUUAAAUGACCUGGGACAGGAGAUAAUUGCAUUACUUAUACAUUGAAGCAACCCA
Fukomys damarensis (Damara mole-rat) is the source of this 1953-nucleotide long non-coding RNA. RefSeq lists it as uncharacterized. The record is from RefSeq and is a predicted model, not a curated record. Lineage: Eukaryota; Metazoa; Chordata; Mammalia; Rodentia; Bathyergidae. The transcript is spliced from 4 exons.